AUGCUCUGCCUCGGGAGCGGCGGCGGAGACCGGAGCCAGGCGUACGGCGGCGGGCGGGGGGCGCCGACGGGAGGACGCCGAGGCGGGCGGAAGCGCACCGCCUUCGUGCGGCCGUCGGCAUCACCGUGGCCUCACACGGGCGCGGACCAGCAUGGGGUCGUCUUCCCCCGGCCCGCGCCGAUUUGGCCGCCCCUGGCGUACCCCUGCGGGCCUGCAUUCCCCGCGCCCUCACCGGCCCGCCCACCCCCCGCUUCCGCAACACCAACUCCGGUGCCGUCGUCCGCGACUAUCGGUAAGGACCUCGAGGAGAGACCGUUCCCCUUCGUCUUGCCUGCGGCGGAGAAGGCGCCCGCGGUCGCGCCGGUUUCCAGGAAGCAGCUCGCCCGACCUGCCCGUCUCGGGGCCGGAACCGUCGCGAUGAUCCGCCCGAAUCGCAGGCGCCGGGCGGGAGGGCGCGGCGCGCCCACCGGCUUCCCGUCGGCACCGCCAUGGCCUCACGAGGGCGUGCACCAGCACGGCAUCGUCUUAUCCGGGACCGCCGCGACGAUGUGCGCGAACCACCGGCGCCGGGCGAGAGGACGCGGAGGUGGCCGCGUGCCCACCGACUUCCUGUGGCCGCCUCCAGGCGAGUCGGCACCGCCGUGGACACACGAGGGCGCGUGCCAGCAUGGUGUCGUCUUCACCGGGCCCGCGCUGACUCCGUCGGCCCGGGCGUACGCCUACGCGCCCUCUUCUACGCCCUCGCCAGCGGUCACGUCGUCGCAAGCGGGCCUGCCCGCGGCGGAGAAGACGCCCAAGGUUGACACCGCGCUGGUCUCCAACAAGGGCCCUGCCCACCUCUCGCGUCCCGGGGCCAGGAACGUCGGCGCGAACCGCUUGCUCAUCAACGUCGGCUACAACAUUUUACCCUGCUAUUGGUUCUUUUUGUUCCCUGCCAAUAAGUUUCUAAAAUUCUGCCCCUCUCCACUUGUAGAUAUCUUAAGGAAGGUGUGGGAUUUAUCCGACCAGGAUAAGGAUGGGAUGCUGUCCUUCAAGGAAUUUUGUUUUGCUGUGUACUUAAUGGAGAGGUUCCGAGAGCAGCGACCACUUCCUGAUGUAUUACCAGAUGGUAUUUGGGCGGAGGGAAUUUCACUACCCUCUACUGGCCAGUUUGCAGAAAACCCUAGUGGCCUGGCUCCCCAUCCAAGUGCUGGGGUUACAAGUAGAGCAAUGCAAGGACCACAUCCUGAAAUGCCUCCUUCAUCUGUGAAGCGACAACAUCGAAGGCCUCUUCAUUUUGAUGAUGACACUACGCAAACUGAACCACAAAAACCUAAGGUCCCAGCAUUGGAGAAACAUUUGGUUGUCCAGCUUAGCAAAGAGGAACCAAAUGCACUUGAAGCGAAGUUCAAGGAAGCUUCAGAUGCCGAUAAAAAGAUUCUCUACAAGAGUAGGUGUGACAACAGGUUUAACGAAGUCUCAGAAAGUAUGUCUGCUGAUAAGUGUAAGGUUUCUACUAACACAGCGUCAAAAUCAAGGCCUGUAGACAUGCAAGAGGUUCAGUCAAUUACCAACAACCAUUGCUACACCAGCCAGCCUGUUAGAGAGGUGACAAUAUCGUCAUCAUCAUCCUCUAACAGGAUGAUUGGGAUCUCAAAAAUUCAGGUUAUUUUCCGCAUUGGAAAUUUCCGCUCGUUCCCGAUGCAAUUUGAAGACAACUGUACAAUUGAACAGAUCGUGUAUGCGGCUUUUCAAAAACAGAACGUCAAAAUAUCUGAUGCAGUUAUCUGA
This 1770-nucleotide ribosomal RNA is filed under the name Triticum aestivum (bread wheat). RNAcentral describes it as "partial small subunit ribosomal RNA". Lineage: Eukaryota; Viridiplantae; Streptophyta; Magnoliopsida; Poales; Poaceae. The record is from RNAcentral.